GGAGGGUUGCCGGAGUGGUCGAACGGGGCGGUCUCGAAAACCGUUGUGCCUUCAGGGGCACCAAGGGUUCGAAUCCCUUACCCUCCG
RNAcentral lists this transfer RNA (87 nucleotides) under Bacteroidota bacterium. Its description in RNAcentral is "Bacteroidetes bacterium tRNA-Ser". It matches the Rfam family "tRNA". From Rfam's summary of the family: Transfer RNA (tRNA) molecules are approximately 80 nucleotides in length. Their secondary structure includes four short double-helical elements and three loops (D, anti-codon, and T loops). Lineage: Bacteria; Pseudomonadati; Bacteroidota. The record is from RNAcentral. RNAcentral also lists the same sequence under 1 other name.